GACGAACGCUGGCGGCGUGCUUAACACAUGCAAGUCGAACGGUGAAGCGCCUUCCUUUUUGGUGGGUGUGGAUGAGUGGCGAACGGGUGAGUAACACGUGAGUAACCUGCCCCCUUCUUCUGGAUAACCGCAUGAAAGUGUGGCUAAUACGGGAUAUUCUGGGUCUGUCGCAUGAUGGGUCUGGGAAAGAUAUUGUUUCGGUGGGGGAUGGGCUCGCGGCCUAUCAGCUUGUGGGUGGGGUGAUGGCCUACCAAGGCGGUGACGGGUAGCCGGCCUGAGAGGGUGGACGGUCACACUGGGACUGAGACACGGCCCAGACUCCUACGGGAGGCAGCAGUGGGGAAUAUUGCACAAUGGGCGCAAGCCUGAUGCAGCGACGCCGCGUGAGGGAUGGAGGCCUUCGGGUUGUGAACCUCUUUCGCCAGUGAAGCAGGCCUGCCUCGUUUGUGGGUGGGUUGACGGUAGCUGGAGAAGAAGCGCCGGCUAACUACGUG
Molecule: ribosomal RNA, 494 nt
Filed under: uncultured bacterium
Lineage: Bacteria
Description: partial 16S ribosomal RNA
Rfam family: Bacterial small subunit ribosomal RNA
Source: RNAcentral